UUGCACAAGUUCCAAAUGUGAAAUAAAAUUGGCUGUCAAAAUACAUCAAAUGAAACGUUUAAACGGUUUAACCAUCGCGCUUAUCAGUUUUAUCAAUAAUAAAAACCUGUAUGGCUGUAUGCUUAAAAUUUUUUGUGAAGGUUGAUAAAAAGCUGUUGAGAGCAGCAUUUCCUACAACUUGGUUUCGUUCUGGCGUUAAAUGCUAUCGGAAGUUACGUGCUAUAAAUAUUGUUAUAAAUUUCUAUGUUAUACUCCAUCUUUGUUGUUAUGAACGUUUCUCCUUAACAAUUAUAUAUUUUUUUCUGUGUAAUUUCAUAAUAAUUAUUUUUCGAGAUUGGAGUUUAAAGAGGAAUUGUUGAAACUGAGUUUUUAAUGAAUAAAUAGUCUGAAAACUAAUAAGUAAUUAUGUGAAAAUAUUUUUUUCAGGCUACUGCCACCUUGAGUGCUAGAUGAAUUGCAAAUGUUUACAAAGGUUCAUAUAUGCGUGCACAUACUGACAGGAUGAAAAGAAGGUGAUAAAGAUAAAAAUAAAGAGCUAAGAAGGCCAAGCAUGCACAAGAAAUAUCUGAAGACAAAUACUCUAUAGAACAAGGUUCUACUGAAGCUCACUUGCUUCGCAGAGACAGUGUUAUGUACACAAAUGGGCUUUCUAUGAUGUACACAAAUGGGCUUUCUAUUAUCGUUAUGCACGUCAAAAAAAAUUUGGGUAUAACUGUUAGUCGCCAAACCAUUCAAAGAUUAAUGCUUCCACCCCGAAAAAAAAAUACAGCAAAUAAAAACUAAAAAUGUCUGAUAGAAGCACAUGUUCCUCCAAAAAGAAAUACAAAAAAAUAAAAACACAUGACAACUUUCAUUUCACUUGUGCUCAAGUUCGUGUAGUCAACGAAAUGGGAUAUCUUUGCAAAUAAAACACACUUAUGCUGUUCGUGAACAAUAAAAAUAAAGUUGAUGUGGGUAUUCCAGCAAACAGGAGAAAAACAAAAAUACACACUUUUCAACAAAGCACCCAAUUGUAGAGAUCAUGACUUUUAAAAUCCAAACUCAAAA
Molecule: long non-coding RNA, 1047 nt
Organism: Hydractinia symbiolongicarpus
Lineage: Eukaryota; Metazoa; Cnidaria; Hydrozoa; Anthoathecata; Hydractiniidae
Exons: 2
Source: RefSeq, a predicted model, not a curated record